This 334-nucleotide long non-coding RNA is filed under the name Sinocyclocheilus anshuiensis. RNAcentral describes it as "lncRNA (ENSSANG00000004235.1)". The record is from RNAcentral. Lineage: Eukaryota; Metazoa; Chordata; Actinopteri; Cypriniformes; Cyprinidae.
AUCAAGGGGAUGUUGAGAAAAAUGAGUACUUAAUCGCGGAUGUCUUGCUGAGAUGAUGUAUAGAUGGCCUCAGGGCUCUUGACUCUUUGGAGCACAAAGUAGACCAAUUUUAGCCCAAUUAAACAGUGGGGAAGCGCUCAGAGUAUCUGUAUCCGACUGUUGAGAAGUCAUUGAAAAGGCACAAUGGAAUUACUCCACACCAAAACUUUGGUCAUAAUACACGAGGGCCAGACGAGCUGCGUUUUGGAAGGCGCCAGGGACGGUGGGAUCAAAAGAGAAGGUCCACUGGCAUCUCCUUCGGCUUGCCAUCUGGUGUCAUUUGAUUAUGUGGGAG